RNAcentral lists this ribosomal RNA (473 nucleotides) under Escherichia coli. RNAcentral's name for it is "bacterial SSU rRNA". It matches the Rfam family "Bacterial small subunit ribosomal RNA", at positions 1 to 470 of the family's 1533-position model. Lineage: Bacteria; Pseudomonadati; Pseudomonadota; Gammaproteobacteria; Enterobacterales; Enterobacteriaceae. The record is from RNAcentral.
AAAUUGAAGAGUUUGAUCAUGGCUCAGAUUGAACGCUGGCGGCAGGCCUAACACAUGCAAGUCGAACGGUAACAGGAAGAAGCUUGCUUCUUUGCUGACGAGUGGCGGACGGGUGAGUAAUGUCUGGGAAACUGCCUGAUGGAGGGGGAUAACUACUGGAAACGGUAGCUAAUACCGCAUAACGUCGCAAGACCAAAGAGGGGGACCUUCGGGCCUCUUGCCAUCGGAUGUGCCCAGAUGGGAUUAGCUAGUAGGUGGGGUAACGGCUCACCUAGGCGACGAUCCCUAGCUGGUCUGAGAGGAUGACCAGCCACACUGGAACUGAGAUACGGUCCAGACUCCUACGGGAGGCAGCAGUGGGGAAUAUUGCACAAUGGGCGCAAGCCUGAUGCAGCCAUGCCGCGUGUAUGAAGAAGGCCUUCGGGUUGUAAAGUACUUUCAGCGGGGAGGAAGGGAGUAAAGUUAAUACCUUU